Molecule: long non-coding RNA, 1461 nt
Filed under: Cricetulus griseus (Chinese hamster)
Lineage: Eukaryota; Metazoa; Chordata; Mammalia; Rodentia; Cricetidae
Description: lncRNA (ENSCGRG00015021417.2)
Source: RNAcentral
CAGAAAGUGUCCCUUUUCCCCUCUGCUCUUCCUCCAGCAGUGCAGUGUGGUCCACUGGCAAGAGAAGGUGACAGCAGAAGGCAUCCUCUAUAAGGGUGCUGCGAGGGAAGAACACUGUUAAGUGAGCCAUGUGAGUGAGGGAUUUAUCUCCUGCUUAUGAAACAGUCAGCUCCUUUCUCAGCUUCAAAGAGAACAAAAGUCUGUUUUGUAACAAUUCCCUGGAGGCCUUUAGAGUUUCUACUUAAGAUAUAUUUAAUCCCUCCUGCUAAAAUAUGACUGCCUUCAAGUCUCCCCUCCAAUUCAUAUGGACAGAAAGGCUGGAAAUGGGAGAAUCUCCCUGUGAAUGAUUGACCAAGACAGUCAUAGAAGCUGUGUAAAUUGGGAGAGUUCCAAAAUUACUUGCAAGUUAGUAAGCAAAAAAAUAUGGGUAGUUGCUACAACCAGUCACAAUCUCAUCUACGUUUUAACGACAUGGCUAUCAUUGAUGGUUCUUUGUGGAAAGUAUGAGAGCCCAAUGACAGCUCUGGAGAAGAUAUCACUGCCAAAGAAAAUGAAAGCAGCCUGGAAAUAUAAGCAUAAGACAGAGAAAAUACAACAGUCAGGGCAGAGAAUGUUAGCUCCAGGAAAAAAAUUGAAGAGAGGAAAAGGUCUGAAGAGCUCUUAUGUCAAGUCUAGAUUCUUUUCAGCUCUUUGUUAAAGCACCAAGAUAAACAGACCAGGGUGAACCUACUGGAAAAACAAACACAUGUGUAUACUUUAGACAUUGGAAAUAAGACAUCUGAUCAUCAAAACAAGCAUCAGCUGUGUGUGACUCUUUUGGCUCUCUGAAGAUCAAGAAGUCAAAUGGGUUUAAAGACUGGCUCUACUGUUAAGAGGACUUUGGGAGCCCAUUCACUAUGGAGGGAUACUAUUGCAGCCCAGAUACAGCAAGGAGGGCCUAGGCCCUCCCCCAAAUGAUAUGACAGACUUGGAAGGUCCCUUGUGGAGGACCUCACUAUCCCUGGGGAGAAGUUAGGGGGUUGGGAGUAACAUGGGAGGAUGGGAAGUCAAGGGAAUGGGGGGAUGGAUAUGUAAAUAUCAGUAGUAAUUAAAGAAUUAAAAAAAAGAAGUCAAAUAGUUCAAUUGGAAUUGCUGAACCAGCGUCAUGAGUUUGCUUUCAUAGUGGCAUUGUUCACUCUCCAGGGAGGCCCUUAAAACGGGAAAAUUUCCCUCACCCUAAAGUCCAGCUGCUGCAAACUAAAACCUAGUGGAAUGUCUCAAGCACACCAUGUGGUACCUAAUCACCUACUAUUGAGAUCUGCUGGUCCAUGUUGACCACUGUAGGAAGCAGCAGAUAUUUCUCACUCUUAUACCAGAAAAUUCUGGACAGUAGUCUAUGUUUGCUUAUGGACACUUGGAAUCACACCUUCCAUCUCUUGCAUAAGCAUCUACCCAUCAACCACUCGCACUCUGGCAUGCCAG